This 437-nucleotide ribosomal RNA is filed under the name uncultured bacterium. Its description in RNAcentral is "bacterial SSU rRNA". It matches the Rfam family "Bacterial small subunit ribosomal RNA", at positions 354 to 796 of the family's 1533-position model. The record is from RNAcentral.
GUGAGGAAUUUUGCGCAAUGGGGGAAACCCUGACGCAGCGACGCCGCGUGGAGGAAGACGGCCUUCGGGUUGUAAACUCCUGUCAGAGGUGAAGAAUGCCCGCAAGGGCUUGACGGUAACCUCAGAGGAAGCCCCGGCUAACUACGUGCCAGCAGCCGCGGUAAUACGUAGGGGGCGAGCGUUGCUCGGAAUUACUGGGCGUAAAGGGAGUGCAGGCGGCCGGUUAAGUCAAAGAUGAAAUCCCGAGGCUUAACUUCGGAAUGGUCUUUGAUACUGAUCGGCUUGAGGCUGGUUGAGGAGAGCGGAAUUCCCGGUGGAGCGGUGAAAUGCGUAGAUAUCGGGAGGAACACCAGAGGCGAAGGCGGCUCUCUAAACUAGUCCUGACGCUGAGACUCGAAAGCUAGGGGAGCAAACGGGAUUAGAUACCCGAGUAGUCC